AUGCAAGGUAGGUUAGAUGGCCUAGGACCAGAGCAACGUAGUGAUGAGGCAGCAGCGACUGUCUUUAGGGAGGUUCUUGGCCAUCGACCUGGAUAUGCACGGGGACUUGGGGAAAUGGUCAUCCCCGAGUCAAGUAGACAAUGUGACAAACUUCAAAUGCAACAAUACAUGUCUGAGGCUGAAAAGCACAAGAAAGAUUCUGAACAAUAUAAGAAGGAUGCUGAACAAUAUAAGAAGGAUGCUGAAGCUUACAAGAGUUAGCUGGAUGAAAUGAGGACAGAGUUGCGGGAGCUGAGGGAGCAUCAGAUACAAAAUGACAAUCUGAUGCAGUCUUUCUUUAGGGCUUUCCCGUCGUUCACUGAGUCAAUUCGACAGACUCAGUGUAACGAUUCCCCCGGCCCAUAAGGGGCUUCUCAUAGAAGGGCACAUUUUUUGGGUGGUUUUUUGUGACACCGGGGAGAUAUGAAGUUAGGGUGUCGAUGUGUUGUGCUUUUGGGUGGUUUUUGUACUUAGUCUAUACGACACUGGGCUAUAUAUAUAUAUAUAUAGUAUUAUAUAUAUAUAUAUAUUUAUAUAAAUCUUGGAUCUAUGUCUACACCGGGGAACUCUUGGAUCUCUCAUGGUCUGCAAAUGGGUUGCUCCUGUCGUCCUCUGUCGAGAAGAAUAUCUACGUACACUCAGCUAGUGGGAUGUGACAGCUGCCUAAGGAUCUUUUCUCAAAAUAUUCUAUGUACAAAUGGCUUGCGACGAGAGGUGUAGAU
Molecule: long non-coding RNA, 761 nt
Organism: Juglans microcarpa x Juglans regia
Lineage: Eukaryota; Viridiplantae; Streptophyta; Magnoliopsida; Fagales; Juglandaceae
Exons: 3
Source: RefSeq, a predicted model, not a curated record